Long non-coding RNA from Daphnia carinata, 569 nucleotides. RefSeq lists it as uncharacterized. The record is from RefSeq and is a predicted model, not a curated record. The transcript has 4 exons. Lineage: Eukaryota; Metazoa; Arthropoda; Branchiopoda; Diplostraca; Daphniidae.
GUGUAGUCUGCUGUCUACCUUUACUCGCUAGAUAGACCGUCCUCGCUAGAUUUUACUUCUUGACCUCUCUAUAUAAUCUUAUUUGUUUCAUUCUGUUCUACAUUUUUUCUGUCCAGGGUCACAAGUGUGAAAGACAUUUUGCCAGUGUCCACAAGUUGGUGGGGGCGGCGGUAGUGGUCCGUUGACGUCACAAAUAUGGGGAAGGGGGACAUUUCUCGAAGGAUUGUCCACAAGAGGGUCGCGGUGGCGGUGGAAGUCGUACCUGCCAUGAGAUAAACAAAAAAAAACAUCAUUCUUAGUGCUCAUUUUUAACGAAGAAGAGGGCAAUAUAGCAAGGGAUUUUCCUCAAGGAGGAAGCAUUGGUGGCAGCAACUGUUAUGAUUGUAGUGAAGCUGACCACACCUCGAAAGGCUGCCCGAAUCUCUUCAGUGAAUUGACGGAAGAAGGAAAGCCACAUGAGCAAUACAUUCCAGAAGCUGUGACAUGCGAUGAAAAGGAACUGUUUAAGGGCAUUGUCUAUGUGGGAACGCUUUAACAAUUUUGAUAAAGUUGUCCUCUAUGUAAGCCAU